GACGAACGCUGGCGGCGUGCUUAACACAUGCAAGUCGAACGGUGAAGCCCUUCGGGGUGGCUCAGUGGCGCAAGGGUGAGUAACACGUGAGCAACCUGACCCUGGCUCUGGGACAACCACUGGAAAAGGUGGCUAAUACCGGAUACGACCCGCCUCGGCAUCGAGUGUGGGUGGGAAGUGUUUCGGCUGGGGAUGGGCUCGCGGCCUAUCAGCUUGUUGGUGAGGUGAAGGUUCACCAAGGCGACGACGGGUAGCCGGCCUGAGAGGGCGACCGGCCACACUGGGACUGAGACACGGCCCAGACUCCUACGGGAGGCAGCAGUGGGGAAUAUUGCACAAUGGGCGAAAGCCUGAUGCAGCGACGCCGCGUGAGGGAUGACGGCCUUCGGGUUGUAAACCGCUUUCAGCUCCGAAGAAGCGAAAGUGACGGUAGGAGCAGAAGAAGCACCGGCUAACUACGUG
Molecule: ribosomal RNA, 462 nt
Filed under: uncultured bacterium
Lineage: Bacteria
Description: partial 16S ribosomal RNA
Rfam family: Bacterial small subunit ribosomal RNA
Source: RNAcentral